Molecule: long non-coding RNA, 503 nt
Organism: Amyelois transitella
Lineage: Eukaryota; Metazoa; Arthropoda; Insecta; Lepidoptera; Pyralidae
Exons: 3
Source: RefSeq, a predicted model, not a curated record
UGUGAGCGCCUGUUUUCAGUUGCUGGAAACAUAGCAAAUGAUGAGCGGAACCGCUUGGAUCCCGGUAGACUUGACAGAUUGUUGUUUUUAAAAAGUGAAAAAAACAUUUUGGAAAAAUAUCGAAUUUUUGAGGAUUGAUUCAUCAGGUCACAUCCCUAAAAUAAACGACAGCUGAUGCGCAAUGAAACGUCGCAAGAAACCGAACACUCUGUCCCACUCGCUCCAGUUACUACAUAUACUCCGCACUCUUGCAUCUUUUGCUCACUCCAAUGCGUCUGGCAGGAUAAUAGAACCUUCAAAACUGUCUGGCUACUUCAGAAACUUUGUUUGAAUAAUUCCCCAAAAAAUAUGUAUUAAAUUCAGAUUUUACAAAAUGACGUUGAAAAAAGUAUACCUUUAUUACCUGCUACCUGCCAAAGCAACCACUGCCUGAGUACCAUAGGUGGGGAUCGUUCCUACCUGUACUAGAGGCAUAUUUACAGAAACUUUCAGCUUUUACAAAA